GUAUUUACGGCGUGUGUGUCGAUUCCACUUACAAUCCAUUGACAUCUGGUCUCUGUUCUUACCGUCAUCACAGCGAACUAACUGUAGCUUUUUUCUCUUUACUCGUAGAAACCUCUGCGCCAUGAGAGCCAAGUGGAGGAAGAAGCGAAUGCGCAGGCUGAAGCGCAAAAGAAGAAAGAUGAGGCAGAGGUCCAAGUAAACCGCUAGCUUGUGCACCCUUGGAAGCCACAAGAGCAGAAAGAAGGGAAGCCAGAGGCCAGGGACGCUGGUACAAAUUGUUGGACUGCAUGCCUGCUGUCUAGAACUUACCGAUGGAUCUGGAACAUACAUGCCAUCUGAUCGCCGCGACCGCCUUUUGAGAGAACCCACCCUACUCUUAAAAAAAAACAACAGUCCCUUUUGGAUCUUUGCCUUGGACCUGUGACAUUCCGGACUGGUUCUGUUCUCAGUUGUGGCUGAAUGUAACGUGUACAAUAAAAUCAUCUCUUCUGUCUAAGCUGAAGAAAAA
Miniopterus natalensis is the source of this 508-nucleotide long non-coding RNA. RefSeq lists it as uncharacterized. Lineage: Eukaryota; Metazoa; Chordata; Mammalia; Chiroptera; Miniopteridae. The record is from RefSeq and is a predicted model, not a curated record.